UAAAAUGUAAUAAAGGAUGUUUAGGAUAAUGAUUAUCAAUUAAACCAGAAUAACUGCAUCUAAGAAUGGCCUAUUCAUCUAUAGUAGCACACAAGAUUUGCAUUUGUGCGGCAGUAUAGGGAACAAUUAUGCUAUCAGGCAUUUUUCCAAAGUGAGUAAUUGAAGUUUUUAUACCUUUGUGGGCCAUAUUUGCUACCAUGGUGGGGUAAUGCUCUAUAGUCUUAUUAGGGGAUAUAUGUGGAUGUAUCCAUACUAAAGGACCAUCUUACCAUAACACAGCAAUUGGCAAAUUUAUGGUUCUUAAUAUACAUAGGUACAAAGGUUCUUUCUCAUUUAUACGAUUUAACUGUGCUUUUUGGAUAGCUCUUUCCACCUUCCUAAGAACAUCAGAAGCCUCAGGUGUUAAUUGUCUCAAUGAGGUAAUAUGUGAUUCUCCUUCUAAAAUUUGAAAUAAAGGUUUUAAUUCCGAAGUAGGGAUCCUUAAAUAAGGUCUAAUCCAAUUUAUAUCUCCUAAUAAUUUUUGAAAAUCAUUUAGUGUCUUUAGAUGAUUUUCUCUUAUACUAAUCUUUUGUGGGGUGACAUACCAUAAAGUAAUAGUGGCUCCUAAGAAAUGACUAACAUUUGACUGCUGUACUUUUUCUGGUGCAAUAACCAAGCCAUUAUUUUUUAAAGUUUCAUUAAGCAAGCCAUAAGCUUGCUGUAUACUUUCUUCUUCAGGUCCACUAAUCACAAUAUCGUUCAUAUAAUGACAAAUUUUUAAGGAGAGGAAAUCAUCCCGAACCAGUAGCAAAGCUUUUCCUACAUAUAACUGACAUAUAGUAUGGCUAUUUGCCAUUCCUUGGGGUAAUACCCGCCAUUGAUACAUUUUAUCAGGCUCCAUAUGAUUAAUAGAAGGCAAGGUAAAUGCAAACCCAAGUUUAUCUUUCUUAUUUAAUGGAAUGGAAAAGAAACAAUCCUUAAUA
RNAcentral lists this long non-coding RNA (962 nucleotides) under Mus musculus (house mouse). RNAcentral describes it as "long non-coding RNA chr17:16984364-16985326". The record is from RNAcentral. Lineage: Eukaryota; Metazoa; Chordata; Mammalia; Rodentia; Muridae.